UCUUUCUUCCACACUCCCCUCCUAUCUGCAGAAAGGAUCAUGGAUUCUUUACUUCUUUCCUUCGUCCUCUUGGUCAUCCCACCAUGUGUCCAUUCCCAGGUGACGUUGGGCCAGACCAGCUCAGUGCAGCUGCAGCCAUCAGAAACCCUCAGGCUGACCUGCUCUGUGUCUGGAUUCUCCCUUACUGCAAGUGGGUAUGCAGUGGGCUGGAUUCGUCAAGCUCCGGGAAAAGGCCUGGAGUGGUUAUGUCAUGUCUAUUGGGAUAAUGACAUGAGAUACUUGGAGUCCCUGAAAAACCGGCUCACCAUCUCCAGAGACACUUCCAAGAGGGAGGUUUACUUAGAGAUGAGAGGCAUGGAGACAAAAGACACUGGAACAUACUACUGCGCUAGAAUACACACAGUAUGCAAAAGCAGUUGA
This is a non-coding RNA of Rhineura floridana, 420 nucleotides long. NCBI's taxonomy places the organism in Eukaryota, Metazoa, Chordata, Lepidosauria, Squamata, Rhineuridae. The record is from the annotation of a RefSeq genome assembly.